GUGUUGGUGGUUCAGUGGUAGAAUUUCCAUCUUCGUUCUGGAGACCUGGGUUUAAUUCCCAGCCAGUGCA
This 70-nucleotide transfer RNA is filed under the name Loxodonta africana (African savanna elephant). It matches the Rfam family "tRNA". From Rfam's summary of the family: Transfer RNA (tRNA) molecules are approximately 80 nucleotides in length. Their secondary structure includes four short double-helical elements and three loops (D, anti-codon, and T loops). Lineage: Eukaryota; Metazoa; Chordata; Mammalia; Proboscidea; Elephantidae. The record is from Rfam by way of RNAcentral.